This 1353-nucleotide ribosomal RNA is filed under the name uncultured Bacteroidales bacterium. RNAcentral's name for it is "bacterial SSU rRNA". It matches the Rfam family "Bacterial small subunit ribosomal RNA", at positions 28 to 1382 of the family's 1533-position model. Lineage: Bacteria; Pseudomonadati; Bacteroidota; Bacteroidia; Bacteroidales. The record is from RNAcentral.
GAUGAACGCUAGCGAUAGGCUUAACACAUGCAAGUCGAGGGGCAUCACGUCUUCGGAUGGUGGCGACCGGCGCACGGGUGAGUAACACGUAUGCAACCUACCUAUUACUUGGGGAUAGCCCGUCGAAAGGCGGAUUAAUACCCAAUGAGACAGGGGUCCCGCAUGGGGAUAUUUGUUAAAGAUUAAUUGGUAAUAGAUGGGCAUGCGUUCCAUUAGGUAGUUGGUAAGGGUAACGGCCUACCAAGCCGACGAUGGAUAGGGGAACUGAGAGGUUGGCCCCCCACACCGGUACUGAGACAGGGACCGGACUCCUACGGGAGGCAGCAGUGAGGAAUAUUGGUCAAUGGUCGCAAGACUGAACCAGCCAAAUCGCGUGAAGGAAGAAGGUAUUAUGUAUUGUAAACUUCUUUUGUAAGGGGGUAAAGACAGGGACGCGUUCUUGUUUGCAAGUACCUUACGAAUAAGCAUCGGCUAACUCCGUGCCAGCAGCCGCGGUAAUACGGAGGAUGCGAGCGUUAUCCGGAUUUAUUGGGUUUAAAGGGUGCGUAGGUGGGAUGUCAAGUCAGCGGUGAAAAAGCGGAGCUCAACUCCGUUCGUGCCGUUGAAACUGGGAUUCUUGAGUUCGGACGAGGUAUGCGGAAUUCGUAGUGUAGCGGUGAAAUGCAUAGAUAUUACGAAGAACACCGAUAGCGCAGGCAGCAUACCGGGCCGCGACUGACACUGAAGCACGAAAGUGUGGGUAUCAAACAGGAUUAGAUACCCUGGUAGUCCACACAGUAAACGAUGAAUACUGACUGUUUGGUAAGAAUAUUAAGCGGUUAAGCGAAAGCGUUAAGUAUUCCACCUGGGGAGUACGCCGGCAACGGUGAAACUCAAAGGAAUUGACGGGGGCCCGCACAAGCGGAGGAACAUGUGGUUUAAUUCGAUGAUACGCGAGGAACCUUACCCGGGCUCGAACGGCAGGGGAAUGUAUGUGAAAGCAUACAGCUAGCAAUAGUCGCUGUCGAGGUGCUGCAUGGUUGUCGUCAGCUCGUGCCGUGAGGUGUCGGCUUAAGUGCCAUAACGAGCGCAACCCUUACCGUCGGUUACCAUCAAGUAAAGUUGGGGACUCUGGCGGGACUGCCACCGUAAGGUGUGAGGAAGGUGGGGAUGACGUCAAAUCAGCACGGCCCUUACGUCCGGGGCGACACACGUGUUACAAUGGGGGGGACAGAAGGCAGCGACCUGGCGACAGGGAGCGAAUCCCGAAACCCUCUCGUAGUUCGGAUCGGAGUCUGCAACUCGACUCCGUGAAGCUGGAUUCGCUAGUAAUCGCGCAUCAGCCAUGGCGCGGUGAAUACGUUCCCGGGCCUU